CGAUAAGUAGCGCACAUGGUAGAGUACUCGUCUGAUACAUGAGUGGUAGUAGGUUCGAUUCCUACCUUAUCGACCA
Molecule: transfer RNA, 76 nt
Filed under: compost metagenome
Description: tRNA-Ile
Rfam family: tRNA
About the family: Transfer RNA (tRNA) molecules are approximately 80 nucleotides in length.
Source: RNAcentral